Molecule: ribosomal RNA, 189 nt
Filed under: Pseudocercospora eumusae
Lineage: Eukaryota; Fungi; Ascomycota; Dothideomycetes; Mycosphaerellales; Mycosphaerellaceae
Description: 5.8S ribosomal RNA
Rfam family: 5.8S ribosomal RNA (bases 32-185)
About the family: 5.8S ribosomal RNA (5.8S rRNA) is a component of the large subunit of the eukaryotic ribosome. It is transcribed by RNA polymerase I as part of the 45S precursor that also contains 18S and 28S rRNA.
Source: RNAcentral
UCUGCGUCGGAGUUCAAAACAAAUCGAACAAAACUUUCAACAACGGAUCUCUUGGUUCUGGCAUCGAUGAAGAACGCAGCGAAAUGCGAUAAGUAAUGUGAAUUGCAGAAUUCAGUGAAUCAUCGAAUCUUUGAACGCACAUUGCGCCCUUUGGUAUUCCGAAGGGCAUGCCUGUUCGAGCGUCAUUUC